CCUCCUCCCCCCCUAUGAAGAAUUCAUUGAACUGCUCCAAUAGGGCAGAUGAUGCCCUUCCUCUCUGGUGUCAGUGAGGAACAUUCCCCAAAGCUUCAUCCUCUCUUUGACUGGUUUCCUGAUGAUCUGGCAGACACAAGCUGUUGCUCCAAGCAUCCUCCAAUGCUCCCUGCUCAGGCUAAACAAUAAGAAAAUAAAUAACAGUCCAUCAAAGCCCUGAAGUUUUGAGGAAAACAAGAAGACAGAAUUAUUUCCUCAUGAAACCAGGAGCAGCGGGCAGCCAGCAAAAGUGUGCUGAGGUGGAAGGGACAACACUUCCACACAGCCGGAAUAGAGCUGUCCUCCUGUGAUGUUAUGGGAUGCAUUUGCAGAGGGAAAUUGAGUUUUUCAAACUCUGGACCUGGUAUAAAUUUGCUGGAGAUAUCAAAGAUCUCAGUGACCAUCUGCUAGGCAGAAGCACCAGCAGUCCAUCUCCGUGAGGGUUCCAUGAGUGAGGAGAUGACAGUGAUUUUCAAAACCUUCCCAUGGAAAUCUAUAGCACCCCUAAACCUUCCGUGAUGCUUUAUUCAAUAUGGGAAUGACGUGAGAUUUAUGUGAGGGCAGAGCUGGGCUCAUAACUCAACACUGGAGAAACAUUGGAGCAGAUGGAAAGUUUAUUGUCUAAAUAGCUUCAUAGCCACGGAAUAACAAGACAUGUGAAAGCACUUGGCAAAGUAAUGUUCCUUGAGAAUAUGCUUUAUUUAGAAAAAGAGAAAUGCAAUAUUUUUCUUUUUCUUUUCUCAUCAAAGGCAAUGCUGUUCUGAAUGUCAUCUCUGAAAAAACGUUUCAUUUUGUAGUAUUGAUUCGGAGCAUUCUCCCCAAAUUGGUAUUUUGAUUAAAAUGACAAAGUUAAACCAGUAUUUUCAUCACAAAAAGAUGUUUUCCAGCCUAGUUGUUUGCCUACUUUGAUGGAUGCAUCAGCCUGUCCAUCUUGUCUUCCUUCUUUGUGAGGUCUUCAGGACAAGAAAUCAUAGAAUUAUAGAAUCAUUAAGGUUGGGAAGAUCACUGAGUCCAGUCAUCAAAAGCUCAAAAACAAGCAGGGAUGGAAGGCAGUAUUGCCUCUGCUGUGCAUGACUCAACUCAUUGGCAAAAACAUCUUCCUGGAAGAGUCUAGACCCGGUCUGGAUCCAAGGACUGUCACCUGAGAGGACUAGAGGAGAGUUUAUCCUCUUGCCUCUCUUAAAACUGAAAUAGACGGAUGCUUCACACUGGUGACACCAACUCUGCUUUCAAAAGAGACCUGAAUUUUGUACCUGAAAGGGCAUUCAGCAACUUCUGGGUUAUAAGACUUGUCUUGUAGUCAAUCAGCUCCCUUCUUAUCUAUGAGAAAUUCGUCUUGUCUUUUCCUUUCCUUAAAUGCUAUAUAUCAUCAUUGAGUAAAAAGUUAAUUGUAUGGGUGCUUAGUAAAAUUAAUUGUAUGGAUGUUUAGUGCUAAGUAUGUUAAUUGGUUUAUGAUUUAAAAUUAAUUAAAGUAUGGUCUUUGGGGAAAUUUAUCAUCAUUUGUCAAACAAAUCUGUUGCUUGCAAUAAGCCCAAAAUCAAAAUAUACUGUACUUCUCCUUCUGCUGAGUUAAAACUCAUGAAAACUUUUUUGUUUAUUUACUUGUUCAUUCACUUAUAGCUAUGCCAUCAAUUGAUAUUUGUUUCCUCAAUUUUUGGCUAUGACUGCUUAAUGUCUUUGUCAGCAGAACCAAUGAUGC
Long non-coding RNA from Gallus gallus (chicken), 1738 nucleotides. Lineage: Eukaryota; Metazoa; Chordata; Aves; Galliformes; Phasianidae. The record is from Ensembl.